Molecule: unclassified non-coding RNA, 852 nt
Filed under: Bombus terrestris (buff-tailed bumblebee)
Lineage: Eukaryota; Metazoa; Arthropoda; Insecta; Hymenoptera; Apidae
Description: misc RNA ENSBTSG00005036426.1
Source: RNAcentral
UUUUGAUUGCAUUAUGUGAUUAUGUGACGAUAUACUUAAUAUUAUACUUGAUAUUAAUAUACGAUAUGUCUAAUGACCGCCUACACUUGUUGGAUGCUCUUUUUGAGCAUUGCAACGAUCGGUCGUCAAGAGUCGUUCGAUAUCUCCAACCGUAAACAUCCUCUCAUCGAUUGCAGAGAAUCAGGAUCCUAGGAAUCGUCUCAACAGUCGCAGACAAUACGCAUCCUGCCAUUCGGAGAGGUUUCCCACGUUAGCCGUUUGAUAGUCCAGCAAUCGAGACUCCACUACAAAGAGCAGAGUCAUCGCCAUCGCAGCACACAAAAAUAUGAUGUUUAAAAAAUCUUUUAAAAUGUUUUUUAAACAGCAGAUCUUAUAAAACAUACAUUGAGAUUGCCAAUGACGAAGAAAACACACACCAUUAAAAUAGAAUAACAAUCUAUCGUAGCUAGGGAAAAGGCGUUAUGAGAGGGAUAAAUUUUCAGUGAGAUAAAUCACACUGCUAAAAUUCUAAACAAUCUCACUCGCAACAGAAUAGAAAUCCGCGGCUGAUCUUUUCCGAUCAAAAGGAAGAUUUUCUUUUUAUCGUUGACUCAAUGAUCAUUCGUCGUAUCAUUAAAAAUGCCUAUAUUCAACUCAAAUGAGAAUAUUUAACAGAAUUAUUUUAUAAUAUGUUCGCUUAUAGUCUUGAAUGAGAGAAAACGACAAGUUUUAAAUGUCAGUGUAGAAAAUUAUUUUAUUACUUAAAUAUUUUGUAGAUUUCUACUAUACGUAACUUAUAUUUGCCACUCGUGUGUAUUCCUACUUUGCAUUCUGUUAGUUUGUAAGACACAAAUUUUAUAAAAAUUGUUACUU